This 153-nucleotide unclassified non-coding RNA is filed under the name uncultured Leotiomycetes. RNAcentral's name for it is "sequence contains ITS1". Lineage: Eukaryota; Fungi; Ascomycota; Leotiomycetes. The record is from RNAcentral.
AUAAGAGGAUACCCUCGGGUACACCCCAUCCGUGUCUAUAUACUCUUGUUGCUUUGGCAGGCCGUGGUCUCCCACUGUGGGCUCUGCCUGCAUGUGCCUGCCAGAGGACCAAACUCUGAAUUUUAGUGAUGUCUGAGUACUAAAUAAUAGUUA